This 406-nucleotide ribosomal RNA is filed under the name uncultured bacterium. Its description in RNAcentral is "partial 16S ribosomal RNA". It matches the Rfam family "Bacterial small subunit ribosomal RNA", at positions 29 to 526 of the family's 1533-position model. The record is from RNAcentral.
AUUGAACGCUGGCGGCAGGCCUAACACAUGCAAGUCGAACGAGCGGCGGACGGGUGAGUAAGGUAUGGGAAACUGCCCGAUGGAGGAGGAUAACAACUGGAAACGGUAGCCAAUACAGCAUACCAUCGGAUGUGCCCAGAGGGGAUUAGCUAGUAGGUGGGGUAACGGUUCACCUAGGCGACGAUCCCUAGCGGGUCUGAGAGGAUGACCAGCCACACUGGAACGGAGACACGGUCCAGACUCCUACGGGAGGCAGCAGUGGGGAAUAUUGCACAAUGGGAGCAAGCCUGAUGCAGCCAUGCCGCGUGUGUGAAGAAGGCCUUCGGGUUGUAAAGUACUUUCAGCGAGGAGGCGUUACUCGCAGAAGAAGCACCGGCUAACUCCGUGCCAGCAGCCGCGGUAAUAC